AGAGUUUGAUCCUGGCGUCAGGAUGAACGACUGCGGCGUGCUUAACACAUGCAAGUCGACGAAGCGGUACAGGGAGUUCCCUCGGGAGGACGGUAAUUGUCUGAGUGGCGGACGGGUGAGUAACGCGUGGGCAACCUGCCCAUACCGGGGAUAACAGCGAACGGCUGCUAUACCGCAUACGCCAGGAGGCUGCAUAGCUUCUGGGGAAACUCCGGUGGUAUGGGAUGGGCCCGCGUCUGAUUAGCUCGUUGGCGGGUAACGGCCCACCAAGGCGACGAUCAGUAGCCGGCCUGAGAGGGCGGCCGGCCACAUUGGGACUGAGACACGGCCCAGACUCCUGCGGGAGGCAGCAGUGGGGAAUAUUGCACAAUGGGGGAAACCCUGAUGCAGCGACGCCGCGUGAGCGAUGAAGUAUCUCGGUAUGUAAAGCUCUAUCAGCAGGGAAGAAAGUGACAGUACCUGACUAAGAAGCCCCAGCUAACUACGUG
This 488-nucleotide ribosomal RNA is filed under the name uncultured Lachnospiraceae bacterium. RNAcentral describes it as "bacterial SSU rRNA". It matches the Rfam family "Bacterial small subunit ribosomal RNA", at positions 8 to 507 of the family's 1533-position model. The record is from RNAcentral. Lineage: Bacteria; Bacillati; Bacillota; Clostridia; Lachnospirales; Lachnospiraceae.